RNAcentral lists this microRNA precursor (95 nucleotides) under Bigelowiella natans CCMP2755. RNAcentral describes it as "miRNA EPrBNAG00000013160". Lineage: Eukaryota; Cercozoa; Chlorarachniophyceae. The record is from RNAcentral.
CCUUGAUGAUGAUGAGGACGAUGAUGAUGAUGAUGAUGACGAAUGAUGGUGAUACACGAUCGUCAUCAUCGUUGGCGUCAUCGUCUUCUGGCAAA